This is a long non-coding RNA of Salvelinus namaycush (lake trout), 867 nucleotides long. RefSeq lists it as uncharacterized. The record is from RefSeq and is a predicted model, not a curated record. The transcript is spliced from 2 exons. NCBI's taxonomy places the organism in Eukaryota, Metazoa, Chordata, Actinopteri, Salmoniformes, Salmonidae.
AAAAUCGGCAUUGUAUCAAAUACUUGUUCUCCCCACAGUAUGUAUGUCACUGUUGGACUUAUGAAACAGCCUCCUCUGAGGUAACUACACAAACAUUCUAAAAGGUACAUUCCCAUUGGUCUUGUCCAUCAGCCUGUUCUCUAGCCUGGGGACAAGGUUACAUUCCCAUUGGUCUUGUCCAUCAGCUGGUUCUCUAGCCUGGGGACAAGGUUACAUUCCCAUUGGUCUUGUCCAUCAGCCGGUUCUCUAGCCUGGGGACAAGGUUACAUUCCCAUUGGUCUUGUCCAUCAGCCGGUUCUCUAGCCUGGGGACAAGGUUACAUUCCCAUUGGUCUUGUCCAUCAGCCGGUUCUCUAGCCUGGGGACAAGGUUACAUUCCCAUUCGUGAGCAAGACAUUUUGUAUUUAUUUUUAAGCUACCAGCCAAGGCGGGCUAUGUGCAUGUUGAUGCCCUGCUCCAAAAAGCACAUUUACAUUUUUGUAUGGGUGCUGAUGGUCUUAUUUUCACACGAUUCCUGACUCGCACUCGGCUUGCAUGCAUAAAGGACGUUAGUUUCGGACCUGUAUGCAGCCCUCAAGGAGGAAUAUGAGGUUGCACACAAAACGGGGUGAAGGCCAGGGGAGAACAAUUUGAAGUAUUUUCUGUGCAUGGAUGAAUACUGUAUUUUAAAAAGAUGGAAGAUCUAAAUAUAUAUAUGUAGCUCUAGUCUUAGCUAAUAGUACUUUUUUUUCUUACGUUUGUAUAUUAGGCAUGUUUUGUAUAAAAUGAAUAUAUACUGAGAUGUUUAUGAUUUUUUUUAAAUGGCAUUUUAAAUGUUGAAAUUUGGUAUGUUGCAUUAAAAACUAUUAAAGUCAUGUUUUGUGGUGUU